This 376-nucleotide ribosomal RNA is filed under the name uncultured bacterium. RNAcentral describes it as "bacterial SSU rRNA". It matches the Rfam family "Bacterial small subunit ribosomal RNA", at positions 524 to 898 of the family's 1533-position model. The record is from RNAcentral.
GACGUAGGGGGCGAGCGUUGUCCGGAAUCAUUGGGCGUAAAGAGCGCGUAGGCGGCCGGUCAAGUCGGGUGUGAAAACCCGGGGCUCAACCCCGGGCCUGCAUCCGAAACUGAUCGGCUCGAGGCAGGUAGGGGAGAUCGGAAUUCCUGGUGUAGCGGUGAAAUGCGCAGAUAUCAGGAGGAACACCGGUGGCGAAGGCGGAUCUCUGGGCCUGUCCUGACGCUGAGGCGCGAAAGCUAGGGGAGCGAACAGGAUUAGAUACCCUGGUAGUCCUAGCCGUAAACGUUGGACGCUAGGUGUGGGCGGUAUCGACCCCGUCCGUGCCGAAGCUAACGCAUUAAGCGUCCCGCCUGGGGAGUACGGCCGCAAGGCUAAA